Molecule: ribosomal RNA, 497 nt
Filed under: uncultured bacterium
Lineage: Bacteria
Description: partial 16S ribosomal RNA
Rfam family: Bacterial small subunit ribosomal RNA
Source: RNAcentral
GAUGAACGCUGGCGGCGUGCCUAAUACAUGCAAGUCGAGCGAACGGACGAGAAGCUUGCUUCUCUGAUGUUAGCGGCGGACGGGUGAGUAACACGUGGAUAACCUACCUAUAAGACUGGGAUAACUUCGGGAAACCGUAGCUAAUACCGGAUAAUAUUUUGAACCGCAUGGUUCAAAAGUGAAAGACGGUCUUGCUGUCACUUAUAGAUGGAUCCGCGCCGCAUUAGCUAGUUGGUAAGGUAACGGCUUACCAAGGCAACGAUGCAUAGCCGACCUGAGAGGGUGAUCGGCCACACUGGAACUGAGACACGGUCCAGACUCCUACGGGAGGCAGCUGUAGGGAAUCUUCCGCAAUGGGCGAAAGCCUGACGGAGCAACGCCGCGUGAGUGAUGAAGGUCUUCGGAUCGUAAAACUCUGUUAUUAGGGAAGAACAUAUGUGUAAGUAACUGUGCACAUCUUGACGGUACCUAAUCAGAAAGCCACGGCUAACUACGUG